This 286-nucleotide unclassified non-coding RNA is filed under the name uncultured Rickettsia sp. RNAcentral describes it as "partial 23S-5S intergenic spacer". The record is from RNAcentral. Lineage: Bacteria; Pseudomonadati; Pseudomonadota; Alphaproteobacteria; Rickettsiales; Rickettsiaceae.
UACAUAUGCAUAUAGUGUUAAUUCUAUAAAAAUGUAGUAUCAACUCACAAAGUUAUCAGGUUAAAUUAGCUUUAUCAAUGAAUAAAAAUGUUGUUGCAUGACCAAUGUCAUACCGUGGUCAAGCCACGGUAUCCAGUAAAAAUUAUUUUGCUGAGUAUCGUAGUAAAAGUUAAGAUAUGAUGUUAAGACUUUUUUUGAGUCGUGCAAUAACAUUAACAGCAAACUAUAAUACAAGUCUAUCUUUUUAAAAGUUUGUAUUGCUAGCUUGGUGGUUAUAGCAUGAGUG